UCUCGAUAAAGGCAAAGCUGAUGAAAAUCAGUGACGCAAAGCUACAGGGGCUACAAUGCAUACGUGCAUUAUGCCAGCCAGCUACCGAA
RNAcentral lists this non-coding RNA (89 nucleotides) under Desulfuribacillus alkaliarsenatis. Its description in RNAcentral is "c-di-GMP sequence". It matches the Rfam family "c-di-GMP-I riboswitch aptamer". Rfam says of the family: GEMM was predicted in a large-scale screen for bacterial structured RNA regulatory elements. Genes associated with GEMM are involved in a diverse array of functions, including chemotaxis regulation, signal transduction, secretion and chitin. The record is from Rfam by way of RNAcentral. Lineage: Bacteria; Bacillati; Bacillota; Desulfuribacillia; Desulfuribacillales; Desulfuribacillaceae.